Molecule: ribosomal RNA, 477 nt
Filed under: uncultured bacterium
Lineage: Bacteria
Description: bacterial SSU rRNA
Rfam family: Bacterial small subunit ribosomal RNA
Source: RNAcentral
GAUGAACGCUAGCGGCAGGCUUAACACAUGCAAGUCGAGGGGCAACACGGGUAGCAAUACCUGGUGGCGACCGGCGCAAGGGUGCGUAACGCGUGAGCAACAUACCCUAUACAGGGGGAUAAUCCAGGGAAACUUGGUCUAAUAUCCCAUAGGAUUUACAGAUGUCAUCAUCUAUAAAUUAAAGCUUCGGUGGUAUAGGAUUGGCUCGCGUGACAUUAGCUAGAUGGUGGGGUAACGGCCUACCAUGGCCAUGAUGUCUAGGGGUUCUGAGAGGAAGACCCCCCACACUGGGACUGAGACACGGCCCAGACUCCUACGGGAGGCAGCAGUGAGGAAUAUUGGACAAUGGAUGGAAAUCUGAUCCAGCCAUGCCGCGUGCAGGAAGACGGCCCUAUGGGUUGUAAACUGCUUUUAUAUGGGAGCAAUAAGGUCUACGCGUAGACCGAUGAGAGUACCAUAUGAAUAAGCAUCGGCUAA